RNAcentral lists this ribosomal RNA (468 nucleotides) under uncultured bacterium. RNAcentral's name for it is "partial 16S ribosomal RNA". It matches the Rfam family "Bacterial small subunit ribosomal RNA", at positions 28 to 507 of the family's 1533-position model. The record is from RNAcentral.
GACGAACGCUGGCGGCGUGCUUAACACAUGCAAGUCGAACGGAAAGGCCCUGCUUUUGUGGGGUGCUCGAGUGCCGAACGGGUGAGUAACACGUGAGUAACCUGCCCUUGAUUUUGGGAUAACUUCAGGAAACUGGGGCUAAUACCGGAUAGGAGCUCCUGCUGCGUGGUGGGGGUUGGAACUUUUAGGCGGUUGUGGAUGGACUCGCGGCUUAUCAGCUUGUUGGUGGGGUAGUGGCUUACCAACGCUUUGACGGGUAGCCGGCCUGAGAGGGUGACCGGCGACAAUGGGACUGCGAUACGGCACAGUCUGCAACGUGAGGCAGCAGUGGGGAACAUUGCCCAGUGGGCGCAAGUCUGAUGCAGAGGCGCCGCGUGCGUAAUGACGUUUUGUUGGUUGUAAACCGCUGCCGCCUGAGACGAAGCGGUAGUGACGGUACUGGGUAAAGAAGCACCGGCUAACUACGUG